UGUAAAGCAAUUAUACUCCAAUAAAGAUGUGAAAAAAAAAAAAAAAGAAGAGCUUGCUUCUUCUCAGCACUGAGUGGUGGUUGCGGCGGGGUUACGGUUCUGCUAGUCAAACAGCUAAACAGCUUUCCUCCUCCAGUGUCUGAAGAUCUGGUCUACACCCUCCCGGGCAUGCAGCCUUAGAAUUAAUGGUCAAGCUCCAUGAAGGCAGGCACUGGGAAGAAGAUUUGGACCCAAUUGAAGAAAGAAGUUCCUAACAGCUACACUGAAAGCUCCAUGAGAAGAAAAUGGCUGCCUUUUUCACUGCUCUACCCUCAGGACCUUGUGUCUGGCACAAGUAGAUGAACA
Long non-coding RNA from Orcinus orca (killer whale), 345 nucleotides. RefSeq lists it as uncharacterized. NCBI's taxonomy places the organism in Eukaryota, Metazoa, Chordata, Mammalia, Artiodactyla, Delphinidae. The record is from RefSeq and is a predicted model, not a curated record. The transcript is spliced from 3 exons.